GCUCCCGUAGCUCAGCUGGAUAGAGCAACGGACUUCUAAGCCGUGGGUCGGGGGUUCGACUCCCUCCGGGAGCG
RNAcentral lists this transfer RNA (74 nucleotides) under Candidatus Aenigmatarchaeota archaeon. Its description in RNAcentral is "tRNA-Arg". It matches the Rfam family "tRNA". From Rfam's summary of the family: Transfer RNA (tRNA) molecules are approximately 80 nucleotides in length. The record is from RNAcentral. Lineage: Archaea; Nanobdellati; Candidatus Aenigmatarchaeota.